UGUGGGAGCGGGCUUGCCCGCGAGGGGGUCAGCACAUUCAAUAUCUUUGUUGACUGAACCAACGCCUUCGCGGGCAAGCCCGCUCCCACA
Molecule: unclassified non-coding RNA, 90 nt
Filed under: Pseudomonas lini
Lineage: Bacteria; Pseudomonadati; Pseudomonadota; Gammaproteobacteria; Pseudomonadales; Pseudomonadaceae
Source: RNAcentral